Molecule: transfer RNA, 70 nt
Filed under: Marmota marmota marmota (Alpine marmot)
Lineage: Eukaryota; Metazoa; Chordata; Mammalia; Rodentia; Sciuridae
Also listed under: 1 other name
Rfam family: tRNA
About the family: Transfer RNA (tRNA) molecules are approximately 80 nucleotides in length. Their secondary structure includes four short double-helical elements and three loops (D, anti-codon, and T loops). Further hydrogen bonds mediate the characteristic L-shaped molecular structure. tRNAs have two regions of fundamental functional importance: the anti-codon, which is responsible for specific mRNA codon recognition, and the 3' end, to which the tRNAs corresponding amino acid is attached (by aminoacyl-tRNA synthetases). tRNAs cope with the degeneracy of the genetic code in two manners: having more than one tRNA (with a specific anti-codon) for a particular amino acid; and 'wobble' base-pairing, i.e. permitting non-standard base-pairing at the 3rd anti-codon position.
Source: Rfam by way of RNAcentral
GCUGAUGUAGCUCAGCGGUAUAGUGCACUUAGCAUGCUUGAGGCCCUGGGUUCCAUCCCCAGCACCAAUA